Molecule: ribosomal RNA, 459 nt
Filed under: uncultured bacterium
Lineage: Bacteria
Description: partial 16S ribosomal RNA
Rfam family: Bacterial small subunit ribosomal RNA
Source: RNAcentral
CCUACGGGAGGCAGCAGUGAGGAAUAUUGGUCAAUGGGCGCGAGCCUGAACCAGCCAAGUCGCGUGAGGGAAGACGGUCCUAUGGAUUGUAAACCUCUUUUGUCGGGGAGCAAAAGACGCCACGUGUGGCGUUCCGAGAGUACCCGAAGAAAAAGCAUCGGCUAACUCCGUGCCAGCAGCCGCGGUAAUACGGAGGAUGCGAGCGUUAUCCGGAUUUAUUGGGUUUAAAGGGUGCGAAGGCGGAAGAUCAAGUCAGCGGUAAAAUUGAGAGGCUCAACCUCUUCGAGCCGUUGAAACUGGUUGUCUUGAGUGAGCGAGAAGUAUGCGGAAUGCGUGGUGUAGCGGUGAAAUGCAUAGAUAUCACGCAGAACUCCGAUUGCGAAGGCAGCAUACCGGCGCUCAACUGACGCUCAUGCACGAAAGUGUGGGUAUCGAACAGGAUUAGAUACCCUAGUAGUC